GAACUGAAGAGUUUGAUCCUGGCUCAGAUUGAACGCUGGCGGGAUGCUUUACACAUGCAAGUCGGACGGCAGCACGGGCUUCGGCCUGGUGGCGAGUGGCGAACGGGUGAGUAAUGUAUCGGAACGUGCCCAGUAGCGGGGGAUAACUACGCGAAAGCGUGGCUAAUACCGCAUACGCCCUACGGGGGAAAGCGGGGGACCUUCGGGCCUCGCACUAUUGGAGCGGCCGAUAUCGGAUUAGCUAGUUGGUGGGGUAACGGCCUACCAAGGCGACGAUCCGUAGCUGGUUUGAGAGGACGACCAGCCACACUGGGACUGAGACACGGCCCAGACUCCUACGGGAGGCAGCAGUGGGGAAUUUUGGACAAUGGGGGCAACCCUGAUCCAGCCAUCCCGCGUGUGCGAUGAAGGCCUUCGGGUUGUAAAGCACUUUUGGCAGGAAAGAAACGGCACGGGCUAAUAUCCUGUGCAACUGACGGUACCUGCAGAAUAAGCACCGGCUAACUACGUGCCAGCAGCCGCGGUAAUACGUAGGGUGCAAGCGUUAAUCGGAAUUACUGGGCGUAAAGCGUGCGCAGGCGGUUCGGAAAGAAAGAUGUGAAUCCCAGGGCUUAACCUUGGAACUGCAUUUUUAACUACCGGGCUAGAGUGUGUCAGAGGGAGGUGGAAUUCCGCGUGUAGCAGUGAAAUGCGUAGAUAUGCGGAGGAACACCGAUGGCGAAGGCAGCCUCCUGGGAUAACACUGACGCUCAUGCACGAAAGUGUGGGGAGCAAACAGGAUUAGAUACCCUGGUAGUCCACGCCCUAAACGAUGUCAACUAGCUGUUGGGGCCUUCGGGCCUUGGUAGCGCAGCUAACGCGUGAAGUUGACCGCCUGGGGAGUACGGUCGCAAGAUUAAAACUCAAAGGAAUUGACGGGGACCCGCACAAGCGGUGGAUGAUGUGGAUUAAUUCGAUGCAACGCGAAAAACCUUACCUACCCUUGACAUGUCUGGAAUCCCGAAGAGAUUUGGGAGUGCUCGCAAGAGAACCGGAACACAGGUGCUGCAUGGCUGUCGUCAGCUCGUGUCGUGAGAUGUUGGGUUAAGUCCCGCAACGAGCGCAACCCUUGUCAUUAGUUGCUACGAAAGGGCACUCUAAUGAGACUGCCGGUGACAAACCGGAGGAAGGUGGGGAUGACGUCAAGUCCUCAUGGCCCUUAUGGGUAGGGCUUCACACGUCAUACAAUGGUCGGGACAGAGGGUUGCCAACCCGCGAGGGGGAGCCAAUCCCAGAAACCCGGUCGUAGUCCGGAUCGCAGUCUGCAACUCGACUGCGUGAAGUCGGAAUCGCUAGUAAUCGCGGAUCAGCAUGUCGCGGUGAAUACGUUCCCGGGUCUUGUACACACCGCCCGUCACACCAUGGGAGUGGGUUUUACCAGAAGUAGUUAGCCUAACCGCAAGGGGGGCGAUUACCACGGUAGGAUUCAUGACUGGGGUGAAGUCGUAACAAGGUAGCCGUAUCGGAAGGUGCGGCUGGAUCACCUCCUUU
RNAcentral lists this ribosomal RNA (1530 nucleotides) under Bordetella pertussis. RNAcentral's name for it is "bacterial SSU rRNA". It matches the Rfam family "Bacterial small subunit ribosomal RNA". The record is from RNAcentral. Lineage: Bacteria; Pseudomonadati; Pseudomonadota; Betaproteobacteria; Burkholderiales; Alcaligenaceae.